RNAcentral lists this ribosomal RNA (200 nucleotides) under uncultured bacterium. RNAcentral describes it as "partial 16S ribosomal RNA". It matches the Rfam family "Bacterial small subunit ribosomal RNA", at positions 28 to 231 of the family's 1533-position model. The record is from RNAcentral.
GACGAACGCUGGCGGCGUGCUUAACACAUGCAAGUCGAACGGUGAAGCCUUUCGGGGUGGAUCAGUGGCGAACGGGUGAGUAACACGUGAGCAAUCUGCCCUUGACUCUGGGAUAACUUCGGGAAACCGGAGCUAAUACCGGAUAUGACACAUAAUCGCAUGGUUUGUGUGUGGAAAGAUUUAUUGGUCAGGGAUGAGCU